CCUACGGGUGGCAGCAGUGAGGAAUAUUGGUCAAUGGACGAGAGUCUGAACCAGCCAAGUAGCGUGAAGGAUGACUGCCCUAUGGGUUGUAAACUUCUUUUAUAAAGGAAUAAAACGAGGCACGGGUGCCUUUUUGUAUGUACUUUAUGAAUAAGGAUCGGCUAACUCCGUGCCAGCAGCCGCGGUAAUACGGAGGAUCCGAGCGUUAUCCGGAUUUAUUGGGUUUAAAGGGAGCGUAGAUGGGUUGUUAAGUCAGUUGUGAAAGUUUGCGGCUCAACCGUAAAAUUGCAUUUGAUACUGGCAGUCUUGAGUAUAGUUGAGGUAGGUGGAAUUCGUGGUGUAGCGGUGAAAUGCUUAGAUAUCACGAAGAACCCCGAUUGCGAAGGCAGCUUACUAAACUGUGACUGACAUUGAUGCUCGAAAGUGUGGGUAUCAAACAGGAUUAGAUACCCCUGUAGUC
Molecule: ribosomal RNA, 460 nt
Filed under: uncultured bacterium
Lineage: Bacteria
Description: partial 16S ribosomal RNA
Rfam family: Bacterial small subunit ribosomal RNA
Source: RNAcentral